RNAcentral lists this non-coding RNA (29 nucleotides) under Rattus norvegicus (Norway rat). Lineage: Eukaryota; Metazoa; Chordata; Mammalia; Rodentia; Muridae. The record is from RNAcentral.
UAAUGUUUAAUAUGUACAGCUUUUAGGUA